This 832-nucleotide ribosomal RNA is filed under the name Amphisphaeria thailandica. Its description in RNAcentral is "SSU rRNA". It matches the Rfam family "Eukaryotic small subunit ribosomal RNA", at positions 56 to 897 of the family's 1831-position model. Lineage: Eukaryota; Fungi; Ascomycota; Sordariomycetes; Amphisphaeriales; Amphisphaeriaceae. The record is from RNAcentral.
UGUCUAAGUAUAAGCAAUUAUACAGCGAAACUGCGAAUGGCUCAUUAAAUCAGUUAUCGUUUAUUUGAUAGUACCUUACUACUUGGAUAACCGUGGUAAUUCUAGAGCUAAUACAUGCUAAAAACCCCGACUCAAGAAGGGGUGUAUUUAUUAGAUUAAAAACCAAUGCCCUUCGGGGCUCUUUGGUGAUUCAUAAUAACUUCACGAAUCGCAUGGCCUUGUGCCGGCGAUGGUUCAUUCAAAUUUCUGCCCUAUCAACUUUCGAUGGCAGGGUCUUGGCCUGCCAUGGUUACAACGGGUAACGGAGGGUUAGGGCUCGACCCCGGAGAAGGAGCCUGAGAAACGGCUACUACAUCCAAGGAAGGCAGCAGGCGCGCAAAUUACCCAAUCCCGACUCGGGGAGGUAGUGACAAUAAAUACUGAUACAGGGCUCUUUAGGGUCUUGUAAUUGGAAUGAGUACAAUUUAAAUCCCUUAACGAGGAACAAUUGGAGGGCAAGUCUGGUGCCAGCAGCCGCGGUAAUUCCAGCUCCAAUAGCGUAUAUUAAAGUUGUUGCAGUUAAAAAGCUCGUAGUUGAACCUUGGGCCUGGCUGGCCGGUCCGCCUCACCGCGUGCACUGGUUCGGCCGGGCCUUUCCCUCUGGGGAACCUCAUGCUCUUCACUGAGUGUGUUGGGGAACCAGGACUUUUACUGUGAAAAAAUUAGAGUGUUCAAAGCAGGCCUAUGCUCGAAUACAUUUAGCAUGGAAUAAUGAAAUAGGACGUGUGGUUCUAUUUUGUUGGUUUCUAGGACCGCCGUAAUGAUUAAUAGGGACAGUCGGGGGCAUCAGUAU